AACGAACGCUGGCGGCAUGCCUAACACAUGCAAGUCGAACGGGAUCCUAGCUUGCUAGGUGAGAGUGGCGGACGGGUGAGUAACACGUGGGAAUCUGCCUUUUGGUUCGGGAUAACCGCGGGAAACUGCGGCUAAUACCGAAUGCCCUCGAGAGAGGAAAGAUUUAUCGCCAGAAGAGGAGCCCGCGUCCGAUUAGGUAGUUGGUGGGGUAAAGGCCUACCAAGCCGACGAUCGGUAGCUGGUCUGAGAGGACGACCAGCCACACUGGGACUGAGACACGGCCCAGACUCCUACGGGAGGCAGCAGUGGGGAAUUUUGGACAAUGGGGGCAACCCUGAUCCAGCAAUGCCGCGUGAGUGAUGAAGGCCUUAGGGUUGUAAAGCUCUUUUGCCAGGGAAGAUGAUGACUGUACCUGGAGAAUAAGCCCCGGCUAACUUCGUGCCAGCAGCCGCGGUAAU
Molecule: ribosomal RNA, 458 nt
Filed under: uncultured bacterium
Lineage: Bacteria
Description: bacterial SSU rRNA
Rfam family: Bacterial small subunit ribosomal RNA
Source: RNAcentral